This 1024-nucleotide ribosomal RNA is filed under the name Saccharomyces cerevisiae (brewer's yeast). Its description in RNAcentral is "SSU rRNA". It matches the Rfam family "Eukaryotic small subunit ribosomal RNA", at positions 87 to 1120 of the family's 1831-position model. Lineage: Eukaryota; Fungi; Ascomycota; Saccharomycetes; Saccharomycetales; Saccharomycetaceae. The record is from RNAcentral.
CUGCGAAUGGCUCAUUAAAUCAGUUAUCGUUUAUUUGAUAGUUCCUUUACUACAUGGUAUAACUGUGGUAAUUCUAGAGCUAAUACAUGCUUAAAAUCUCGACCCUUUGGAAGAGAUGUAUUUAUUAGAUAAAAAAUCAAUGUCUUCGGACUCUUUGAUGAUUCAUAAUAACUUUUCGAAUCGCAUGGCCUUGUGCUGGCGAUGGUUCAUUCAAAUUUCUGCCCUAUCAACUUUCGAUGGUAGGAUAGUGGCCUACCAUGGUUUCAACGGGUAACGGGGAAUAAGGGUUCGAUUCCGGAGAGGGAGCCUGAGAAACGGCUACCACAUCCAAGGAAGGCAGCAGGCGCGCAAAUUACCCAAUCCUAAUUCAGGGAGGUAGUGACAAUAAAUAACGAUACAGGGCCCAUUCGGGUCUUGUAAUUGGAAUGAGUACAAUGUAAAUACCUUAACGAGGAACAAUUGGAGGGCAAGUCUGGUGCCAGCAGCCGCGGUAAUUCCAGCUCCAAUAGCGUAUAUUAAAGUUGUUGCAGUUAAAAAGCUCGUAGUUGAACUUUGGGCCCGGUUGGCCGGUCCGAUUUUUUCGUGUACUGGAUUUCCAACGGGGCCUUUCCUUCUGGCUAACCUUGAGUCCUUGUGGCUCUUGGCGAACCAGGACUUUUACUUUGAAAAAAUUAGAGUGUUCAAAGCAGGCGUAUUGCUCGAAUAUAUUAGCAUGGAAUAAUAGAAUAGGACGUUUGGUUCUAUUUUGUUGGUUUCUAGGACCAUCGUAAUGAUUAAUAGGGACGGUCGGGGGCAUCAGUAUUCAAUUGUCAGAGGUGAAAUUCUUGGAUUUAUUGAAGACUAACUACUGCGAAAGCAUUUGCCAAGGACGUUUUCAUUAAUCAAGAACGAAAGUUAGGGGAUCGAAGAUGAUCAGAUACCGUCGUAGUCUUAACCAUAAACUAUGCCGACUAGGGAUCGGGUGGUGUUUUUUUAAUGACCCACUCGGCACCUUACGAGAAAUCAAAGUCUUUGGGUCUGGGGG